Rosa rugosa (rugosa rose) is the source of this 516-nucleotide long non-coding RNA. RefSeq lists it as uncharacterized. The transcript is spliced from 2 exons. The record is from RefSeq and is a predicted model, not a curated record. NCBI's taxonomy places the organism in Eukaryota, Viridiplantae, Streptophyta, Magnoliopsida, Rosales, Rosaceae.
CCCAAGCUGAGCCCAAAACACAGAGUGGCCUUUCCACAUACCAUACUACCAGUACUAAAAUUAACAAAAAGCCAAAACUCACCAGAAAUCUGAGACUCCGCGAGAGAGAAGAAGAAGAAGAUGAUAUACAGGAAAUGGAGUCUGCUGACUGGGCCCGUAGCUGUAUUGGGAGGCAUAGUCGGCACGGUCGUCGUCGCCCACUUCGUCUUCGUCGGUAACGAUCGAUUUCUUAAGACAGAUCCAAGGAAGGCAGAAGCCGCCACUUCAAGAAAAUAAGAUGAGAAGGAUGAAGAGUUGCAUUCUAAUGUGACUUUUUUUUUAUCUGCUGAAUAUGUUGAACAAAAUUGUGGUGGUGUUAAGAGUCUCAGACAUGACUUGUUAGUUAAUAAUCCAGAAUUGCAAUUUGGGUUCUGAUUUAAGGUUGUGAAGUCAGUUUCAUGAAUAUGGAUUCUGUGUUACAAUGACAUGGCUUGAUUUCAAGCUAAUAAAUGACCAAAUUCCAUUGCUUUUGUUAUA